GAACGCUGGCGGCAGGCCUAACACAUGCAAGUCGAGCGGUAACAUUUCUAGCUUGCUAGAAGGUGACGAGCGGCGGACGGUGAGUAACGCGUAGAAAUCUACCUAGUAGUGGGGGAUAGCCCAGAGAAAUUUGGAUUAAUACCGCAUACGCCCUACGGGGGAAAGCGGGGGAUCUUCGGACCUCGUGCUAUUAGAUGAGUCUGCGUCGGAUUAGCUUGUUGGUGAGGUAAUGGCUCACCAAGGCGACGAUCCGUAGCUGGUCUGAGAGGAUGACCAGCCACACUGGAACUGAGACACGGUCCAGACUCCUACGGGAGGCAGCAGUGGGGAAUAUUGCACAAUGGGCGCAAGCCUGAUGCAGCCAUGCCGCGUGUGUGAAGAAGGCCUUAGGGUUGUAAAGCACUUUCAGCAGUGAGGAAAGGGGUGUCGUUAAUAGCGCCAUCCUGUGACGUUAACUGCAGAAGAAGGACCGGCUAACUCCGUG
This 484-nucleotide ribosomal RNA is filed under the name uncultured bacterium. Its description in RNAcentral is "bacterial SSU rRNA". It matches the Rfam family "Bacterial small subunit ribosomal RNA", at positions 31 to 507 of the family's 1533-position model. The record is from RNAcentral.